GGUGGGUUGAUCUCAUGUUGGUUAAAAUCACAUGUUGAUGAUUCACCAUCGAUGUUGUAAAAACACUGCCCACCAAUAGCACAGGCUCAAAAGGAAACCUCACAGCAUUAGAUGGGCCAAAAUUAAGAUCCAAUGGUUAGGAUGAUUCCAUCAUUAGAGCACUCGAUGGCUCCAUAGCAUGGAUGAUUCCAUCAUUAGUGUCUAGUGCUUCUUUAUUGUGUUAUCAGUCCAGCAGUUGAGGAGUGAUGGCUACCCACUUAUUGCCGAAGACGAGAAUGCUAGUUAGGCGCGAAGGUUGAGAUGGGAGUGGAGCAAGG
Molecule: unclassified non-coding RNA, 317 nt
Filed under: Hevea brasiliensis (rubber tree)
Lineage: Eukaryota; Viridiplantae; Streptophyta; Magnoliopsida; Malpighiales; Euphorbiaceae
Source: RNAcentral